GCUUAGUUGAGUUGAGUUGAGUAUUGUUAUCAACGGCGCGCAAGGUGCACCAGGUGCAACCCAUAGUGCCUGAUGGGUUGCGCAACCCAGGCGCUAAGCGCGCCUCACGAAGGCCAUCCAUGCCAAUACAAUCGCUGAAAGCAAAUUGAAAAAUGGAGGAGGAGGAGGAGAAGAAAAAGUAGGUAAAUGGGGCUUGUAAUUGUGAAUUUGGGAUUGCGAA
Molecule: unclassified non-coding RNA, 220 nt
Filed under: Hevea brasiliensis (rubber tree)
Lineage: Eukaryota; Viridiplantae; Streptophyta; Magnoliopsida; Malpighiales; Euphorbiaceae
Source: RNAcentral